AUACGUAGGUGGCGAGCGUUGUCCGGAAUUACUGGGCGUAAAGGGUGCGCAGGCGGAAACUUAAGUCAGAUGUGAAAUACCCGGGCUUAACCUGGGAAUGGCAUUUGAAACUGGGUUUCUAGAGUGCAGGAGAGGAAAGCGGAAUUCCUAGUGUAGCGGUGAAAUGCGUAGAUAUUAGGAAGAACACCAGUGGCGAAGGCGGCUUUCUGGACUGUAACUGACGCUGAGGCACGAAAGCGUGGGGAGCAAACAGGAUUAGAUACCCUGGUAGUCCACGCUGUAAACGAUGAGUGCUAGGUGUGGGGGGUUUCGACACUCUCUGUGCCGCAGUAAACGCAAUAAGCACUCCGCCUGGGGAGUACGGUCGCAAGACUAAA
Molecule: ribosomal RNA, 377 nt
Filed under: uncultured bacterium
Lineage: Bacteria
Description: bacterial SSU rRNA
Rfam family: Bacterial small subunit ribosomal RNA
Source: RNAcentral